Molecule: ribosomal RNA, 433 nt
Filed under: uncultured bacterium
Lineage: Bacteria
Description: partial 16S ribosomal RNA
Rfam family: Bacterial small subunit ribosomal RNA
Source: RNAcentral
AACGAACGCUGGCGGCAUGCCUAACACAUGCAAGUCGAACGAAACCUUCGGGUUUGGUUGUGCGGGUGUGCGUCUCGCUUGGGAACCUGCCCUUAGGUUCGGAAUGACUGCCUGACCGGGCUCAUACAAGCGGAUAAUAGCUAGGGACGAAAGAUAUUACGGCAUUGGAUGGCCCCGCGUUGGAUUGGGUAGUUGGUAGGGUAAAUGCCUACCAAGGCGACGAUCCAUAGCUGGUCUGAGAGGAUGAUCAGCCACACUGGGACUGAGACACGGCCCAGACUCCUACGGGAGGCAGCAGUGGGGAAUAUUGGACAAUGGGCGAAAGCCUGAUGCAGCGACGCCGCGUGAGUGAUGAAGGCCUUAGGGAUGUAAAGCUCUAUUAGCCGGGAUGAUAAUGACAGUACCGGGAGAAGAAGCUCCGGCUAACUCCGUG